Molecule: small nuclear RNA, 103 nt
Organism: Ictalurus punctatus (channel catfish)
Lineage: Eukaryota; Metazoa; Chordata; Actinopteri; Siluriformes; Ictaluridae
Source: Ensembl
AUGCUACUGCAGCACAUAUACUGAAAUUGGAACGAUACAGUGAAGAUUAGCGUGGCCCCUUCACAAGGAUGACAAGCAAAAUCGUGGGAUUGAAAGCAUUCGG